RNAcentral lists this ribosomal RNA (476 nucleotides) under uncultured soil bacterium. RNAcentral's name for it is "bacterial SSU rRNA". It matches the Rfam family "Bacterial small subunit ribosomal RNA", at positions 26 to 505 of the family's 1533-position model. The record is from RNAcentral.
AGAUUGAACGCUGGCGGCAUGCCUUACACAUGCAAGUCGAACGGCAGCACGGGGGCAAUCCUGGUGGCGAGUGGCGAACGGGUGAGUAAUAUAUCGGAACGUGCCCAGUCGUGGGGGAUAACGCAGUGAAAGCUGUGCUAAUACCGCAUACGAUCUAUGGAUGAAAGCGGGGGACUCGCAAGAGCCUCGCGCGAUUGGAGCGGCCGAUAUCAGAUUAGCUAGUUGGUGAGGUAAAGGCUCACCAAGCCUUCGAUCUGUAGCUGGUCUGAGAGGACGACCAGCCACACUGGGACUGAGACACGGCCCAGACUCCUACGGGAGGCAGCAGUGGGAAUUUUGGACAAUGGGCGAAAGCCUGAUCCAGCCAUGCCGCGUGCAGGAUGAAGGCCUUCGGUUGUAACUGUCUUUGUACGUACGAAAGUCUACUUCUAAUAAGAGGAUCAUGACGUACGUAAGAAUAAGCACCGCUAACUACG